GCGGGCGUGGUGAAACUGGUAGACACAAGGGACUUAAAAUCCCUCGGCUAACGCUGUACGGGUUCGAUUCCCGUCGCCCGCA
Molecule: transfer RNA, 82 nt
Organism: Devosia soli
Lineage: Bacteria; Pseudomonadati; Pseudomonadota; Alphaproteobacteria; Hyphomicrobiales; Devosiaceae
Rfam family: tRNA
About the family: Transfer RNA (tRNA) molecules are approximately 80 nucleotides in length. Their secondary structure includes four short double-helical elements and three loops (D, anti-codon, and T loops).
Source: Rfam